Long non-coding RNA from Budorcas taxicolor (takin), 402 nucleotides. RefSeq lists it as uncharacterized. The record is from RefSeq and is a predicted model, not a curated record. The transcript is spliced from 2 exons. NCBI's taxonomy places the organism in Eukaryota, Metazoa, Chordata, Mammalia, Artiodactyla, Bovidae.
CCCGGCGCCCUCUAGUGCCAGUCAAGGUCUGGCCGCGAAGGUUGGCGGUCUGGGAGCGGCCCCUGCGUGGACCAACCACUUACGCCGUUCCCUUUUGUGGGCGUUUUUCAAAGUGCCUGAACCAGCCUGAGGACAAGCACCUUCUUGCCUUAGUUACUGUUGUACUGUAACGCCACCGCUAGAUGUCGUGCCUGUCGCCUGAAGUGAAGUCGCUCAGUCGUGUCCGACUCUUUGCGAUCCCUUGGACUGUAGCCUACCAGUCUCCUCCGUCCAUGCAAUUUUCCAGGCAAGAGUACUGGAGUGGGUUGCCAUUUCCUUCACCAGAGGAUCUUCCCGACCCGGGGAUGGAACCUGGGUCUCCCGCAUUAGUAGUUGCCCGCCCAAUAAACAUGUUUGACUACA